This 474-nucleotide ribosomal RNA is filed under the name uncultured bacterium. Its description in RNAcentral is "bacterial SSU rRNA". It matches the Rfam family "Bacterial small subunit ribosomal RNA", at positions 55 to 527 of the family's 1533-position model. The record is from RNAcentral.
AUGCAGUCGACGCGAAGUCACUUCGGUGGCGAGUAGAGUGGCGGACGGGUGAGUAACGCGUGGGAAUCUACCUUGUAGUGGGGGACAACCCGAGGAAACUCGGGCUAAUACCGCAUACGUCCUACGGGAGAAAGGGGGCCUCUGAUUCAAGCUCCCGCUACAAGACGAGCCCGCGUCGGAUUAGCUAGUUGGUAGGGUAAAAGCCUACCAAGGCAACGAUCCGUAGCUGGUCUGAGAGGAUGAUCAGCCACACUGGGACUGAGACACGGCCCAGACUCCUACGGGAGGCAGCAGUGGGGAAUAUUGCACAAUGGGCGCAAGCCUGAUGCAGCAAUGCCGCGUGUGUGAAGAAGGCCUGCGGGUUGUAAAGCACUUUCAGUAGGGAAGAAAAGCCUGUGGCUAAUACCCACGGGAUUUGACGUUACCUACAGAAGAAGCACCGGCUAACUCCGUGCCAGCAGCCGCGGUAAUACG